AUUGAACGCUGGCGGCAUGCUUUACACAUGCAAGUCGAACGGCAGCACGGGGGCAACCCUGGUGGCGAGUGGCGAACGGGUGAGUAAUAUAUCGGAACGUACCCGGAAAUGGGGGAUAACGUAGCGAAAGUUACGCUAAUACCGCAUAUGCCCUAAGGGGAAAGCGGGGGAUUCGCAAGAACCUCGCGUUUUCGGAGCGGCCGAUAUCGGAUUAGCUAGUAGGUGAGGUAAAGGCUCACCUAGGCGACGAUCCGUAGCUGGUCUGAGAGGACGACCAGCCACACUGGAACUGAGACACGGUCCAGACUCCUACGGGAGGCAGCAGUGGGGAAUUUUGGACAAUGGGCGCAAGCCUGAUCCAGCCAUGCCGCGUGAGUGAAGAAGGCCUUCGGGUUGUAA
RNAcentral lists this ribosomal RNA (399 nucleotides) under uncultured bacterium. RNAcentral's name for it is "bacterial SSU rRNA". It matches the Rfam family "Bacterial small subunit ribosomal RNA", at positions 30 to 428 of the family's 1533-position model. The record is from RNAcentral.